Molecule: ribosomal RNA, 799 nt
Filed under: uncultured bacterium
Lineage: Bacteria
Description: bacterial SSU rRNA
Rfam family: Bacterial small subunit ribosomal RNA
Source: RNAcentral
GAGUUUGAUCCUGGCUCAGGACGAACGCUGGCGGCGUGCCUAAUACAUGCAAGUCGAACGCGCAAAGUUGAAGAGCUUGCUCUUUAACCAAGUGAGUGGCGGACGGGUGAGUAACACGUGGGUAACCUGCCCAUUAGAGGGGGAUAACAUUCGGAAACGGAUGCUAAUACCGCAUAGUUUCAGGAAUCGCAUGAUUCUUGAAGGAAAGGUGGCUUCGGCUACCACUAAUGGAUGGACCCGCGGCGUAUUAGCUAGUUGGUGAGGUAAUGGCUCACCAAGGCAAUGAUACGUAGCCGACCUGAGAGGGUGAUCGGCCACACUGGGACUGAGACACGGCCCAGACUCCUACGGGAGGCAGCAGUAGGGAAUCUUCCGCAAUGGACGAAAGUCUGACGGAGCAACGCCGCGUGAGUGAAGAAGGUUUUCGGAUCGUAAAACUCUGUUGUUAAAGAAGAACAAGGAUGAGAGUAACUGCUCAUCCCCUGACGGUAUUUAACCAGAAAGCCACGGCUAACUACGUGCCAGCAGCCGCGGUAAUACGUAGGUGGCAAGCGUUGUCCGGAUUUAUUGGGCGUAAAGCGAGCGCAGGCGGUUCUUUAAGUCUGAUGUGAAAGCCCCCGGCUCAACCGGGGAGGGUCAUUGGAAACUGGAGAACUUGAGUGCAGAAGAGGAGAGUGGAAUUCCACGUGUAGCGGUAAAAUGCGUAGAUAUGUGGAGGAACACCAGUGGCGAAGGCGACUCUCUGGUCUGUAACUGACGCUGAGGCUCGAAAGCGUGGGGAGCAAACAGGAUUAGAUAC